Molecule: ribosomal RNA, 253 nt
Filed under: uncultured bacterium
Lineage: Bacteria
Description: partial 16S ribosomal RNA
Rfam family: Bacterial small subunit ribosomal RNA
Source: RNAcentral
UACGAAGGGGGCUAGCGUUGCUCGGAAUCACUGGGCGUAAAGCGCACGUAGGCGGGUCUUUAAGUCAGGGGUGAAAUCCUGGAGCUCAACUCCAGAACUGCCUUUGAUACUGAGGAUCUUGAGUUCGGGAGAGGUGAGUGGAACUGCGAGUGUAGAGGUGAAAUUCGUAGAUAUUCGCAAGAACACCAGUGGCGAAGGCGGCUCACUGGCCCGAUACUGACGCUGAGGUGCGAAAGCGUGGGGAGCAAACAGG